CGGCGGACGGGUGAGUAACGCGUGGGUAACCUGCCUCAUACAGGGGGAUAACAGUUGGAACGGCUGCUAAUACCGCAUAAGCGCACAGUACCGCAUGGUACGGUGUGAAAAACUCCGGUGGUAUGAGAUGGACCCGCGUCUGAUUAGGUAGUUGGUGGGGUAACGGCCUACCAAGCCGACGAUCAGUAGCCGACCUGAGAGGGUGACCGGCCACAUUGGGACUGAGACACGGCCCAA
This 237-nucleotide ribosomal RNA is filed under the name uncultured bacterium. RNAcentral's name for it is "partial 16S ribosomal RNA". It matches the Rfam family "Bacterial small subunit ribosomal RNA", at positions 96 to 334 of the family's 1533-position model. The record is from RNAcentral.